UCCGUAGGCGGGCAAUUAAGUCAGAGGUGAAAUCCCACAGCUCAACUGUGGAACUGCCUUUGAUACUGAUUGUCUUGAGUUAUAGUGAAGUAGAUAGAAUAUGUAGUGUAGCGGUGAAAUGCAUAGAUAUUACAUAGAAUACCGAUUGCGAAGGCAGUCUACUAACUGUAUACUGACGCUAAUGGACGAAAGCGUGGGGAGCGAACAGGAUUAGAUACCCUGGUAGUCC
Molecule: ribosomal RNA, 229 nt
Filed under: uncultured bacterium
Lineage: Bacteria
Description: partial 16S ribosomal RNA
Rfam family: Bacterial small subunit ribosomal RNA
Source: RNAcentral